GGAAAUCCAUGUUUUGGCAUUCAGGAGAGAGCAGCAGACUAACCAAAAGAAAGACUUUCCAGUGGUCAAUGAGAUUAGUGGUCAAAAUGCUGUGAUUCUGUGUGUGUGAUGAGGGGCAAUCUUUUCAUUUCUCUAUAGCUUAGAUCUCUAUCACUAGGGAGCAAUUAACAUUCUCUUUGGUACUCUGAUAGAAGUGCUAUUUGCUUUUCGGCUGACAUUUUAAGGGCACUCAUACCUUCGCUUUAGAUUUGCACAUGUCUAAAGGCAGCAUCAAAUUCUCAUAUUCUCUCUUCACUUCUUGCAAGCUCCUCUGUAGAGGAGAGCUUGAAGGGAAGAAAAAGAAAAAAGUCACUAACUUGUCUCUUUUUUGCCUUUUUUGUACAGUCAUUUUCAACAAUGGGAACUUUCACAAGGAGUACACACACAAGGGAGCAAGAAGGAAGGAGAAUGCUCUCAGUAUGCCUAUUUCCAGGGGGAAAGAAAAAAACAAACGAAGAACUCGAGGUUGUAUUUCCAGCAAUACUGAAGGACAAAGAGGAUCUCAAGGCAUUGCCCCAGGCCUUAUAUCUCUGCCAUUGUGGAAUUGUGUUCUGAUACUUCCAAAACUCCAUCUGGAACCUACUUGCAUUUUAAGCUGCCUUUAGUCCAGUACAGGAUUUUGGGGACUGUGGUAACAGCUAGAUUCUUUAUGAUUCUGCCAUGUGGCAUGACAAACCCAAGUGCACGCUGGCAUGUUUAACAAGGACAAGAUAAAGAGUGCCAGCACGAGUUAUGUUGGGAAGGAAUGAUGCAAGCUUUUGUUGCUGCUUUGCUUUCGCACCUUCCAGCCUUUUGACCAAGCUGUGCCACAAAAAUGUGAGAAACAUGUCAUUUGCUGGAGGGGUGAGGAAAUACUGCUAUUCUGAGCAGGAAAGAAUAAAGUCAGUCACUGAGCCA
This 936-nucleotide long non-coding RNA is filed under the name Phasianus colchicus (ring-necked pheasant). RNAcentral describes it as "lncRNA (ENSPCLG00000004874.1)". Lineage: Eukaryota; Metazoa; Chordata; Aves; Galliformes; Phasianidae. The record is from RNAcentral.